ACGACAGAUGGCUCCACUUCAGUGUUUUGUUCUCCGGUAUGGAUUCAGUGUCAGUAAGGGUCAUUGAUGAAUAUUUCUGUAUAUGUUUAUUACAAUUUUACGAAAAGAAAAAAUACAUACUAAACGCUUCAACCCUCACCUCAACGUGAUAAAGAAGUGUUCCAAUAUGACGUGUGUGUACCGCACAAUCGAAACAUCUGUUCACUGAGGCCUAAGAAAGUCAUCUUGAAAAAUGAUCUUUAACGAAUGUAACCAAGAUGGACUUCAUACAGUAUAUAUGAUACUGUAAGUCACCGUGGUUUUAAUAUGAGCUGAUGGACUAAUAAUUUGAUUUACUUUGUUGGUGAUCACAAACAAAAAAAAAUUGCUAGUAAAACAGACAAACAUAUUUCUUUGUUGCAAUAUGAGUAACAAAA
This is a long non-coding RNA of Agrilus planipennis (emerald ash borer), 416 nucleotides long. RefSeq lists it as uncharacterized. Lineage: Eukaryota; Metazoa; Arthropoda; Insecta; Coleoptera; Buprestidae. The record is from RefSeq and is a predicted model, not a curated record. The transcript has 4 exons.